This 497-nucleotide ribosomal RNA is filed under the name uncultured bacterium. RNAcentral describes it as "partial 16S ribosomal RNA". It matches the Rfam family "Bacterial small subunit ribosomal RNA", at positions 28 to 507 of the family's 1533-position model. The record is from RNAcentral.
GAUGAACGCUGGCGGCGUGCCUAAUACAUGCAAGUCGAGCGAACAGACGAGGAGCUUGCUCCUCUGACGUUAGCGGCGGACGGGUGAGUAACACGUGGAUAACCUACCUAUAAGACUGGGAUAACUUCGGGAAACCGGAGCUAAUACCGGAUAAUAUAUUGAACCGCAUGGUUCAAUAGUGAAAGACGGUUUUGCUGUCACUUAUAGAUGGAUCCGCGCCGCAUUAGCUAGUUGGUAAGGUAACGGCUUACCAAGGCAACGAUGCGUAGCCGACCUGAGAGGGGGAUCGGCCACACUGGAACGUGGACACGGUCCAGACUCCUACGGGAGGCAGCAGUAGGGAAUCUUCCGCAAUGGGCGAAAGCCUGACGGAGCAACGCCGCGUGAGUGAUGAAGGUCUUCGGAUCGUAAAACUCUGUUAUUAGGGAAGAACAAAUGUGUAAGUAACUAUGCACGUCUUGACGGUACCUAAUCAGAAAGCCACGGCUAACUACGUG